RNAcentral lists this ribosomal RNA (492 nucleotides) under uncultured bacterium. RNAcentral describes it as "partial 16S ribosomal RNA". It matches the Rfam family "Bacterial small subunit ribosomal RNA", at positions 29 to 507 of the family's 1533-position model. The record is from RNAcentral.
AGUGAACGCUGGCGGUAGGCCUAACACAUGCCAGUCGAACGGCAGCACAGUAAGAGCUUGCUCUUACGGGUGGCGAGUGGCGGACGGGUGAGGAAUACAUCGGAAUCUACUUUUUCGUGGGGGAUAACGUAGGGAAACUUACGCUAAUACCGCAUACGACCUACGGGUGAAAGCAGGGGAUCUUCGGACCUUGCGCGAUUGAAUGAGCCGAUGUCGGAUUAGCUAGUUGGCGGGGUAAAGGCCCACCAAGGCGACGAUCCGUAGCUGGUCUGAGAGGAUGAUCAGCCACACUGGAACUGAGACACGGUCCAGACUCCUACGGGAGGCAGCAGCGGGGAAUAUUGGACAAUGGGCGCAAGCCUGAUCCAGCCAUACCGCGUGGGUGAAGAAGGCCUUCGGGUUGUAAAGCCCUUUUGUUGGGAAAGAAAAGCAGCAGGUUAAUACCCCGCUGUUCUGACGGUACCCAAAGAAUAAGCACCGGCUAACUUCGUG